Long non-coding RNA from Oncorhynchus masou masou (cherry salmon), 244 nucleotides. RefSeq lists it as uncharacterized. The record is from RefSeq and is a predicted model, not a curated record. Lineage: Eukaryota; Metazoa; Chordata; Actinopteri; Salmoniformes; Salmonidae. The transcript has 3 exons.
UCCCUCUACUUCCCCCCCUCUUCUCCAUUCUCAGGACACUGAUGCCUUUGUUUGACCCUGACUCAGGCCUCCUCACAGUAUCUGGGAUGGGAGAUAGUGUCAUUGACUGCUUCGAGGUGUCUGCCACUGAACCAUUCCUUUCCCAAGUGAGCCACUGUCUGACGGACGCCCCAACGCGAGGCGUUGCCAUGGUACCCAAGUUGGCAUUGGAUGUCCUGUCCUGUGAGGUCAUGCGGGUCCUGCA